UCUCUUAUUGUGCCUAAAUGC
Molecule: non-coding RNA, 21 nt
Filed under: Arabidopsis thaliana (thale cress)
Lineage: Eukaryota; Viridiplantae; Streptophyta; Magnoliopsida; Brassicales; Brassicaceae
Source: RNAcentral